UACGUAGGGUGCGAGCGUUAAUCGGAAUUACUGGGCGUAAAGCGCGUGUAGGCGGCUCGAUAAGUCUGCUGUGAAAGUUCAGGGCUCAACCCUGAAAUGCCGGUGGAAACUGUCGGGCUAGAGUCCGGAAGAGGCGAGUGGAAUUCCUGGUGUAGCGGUGAAAUGCGCAGAUAUCAGGAGGAACACCAAUGGCGAAGGCAGCUCGCUGGGACGGUACUGACGCUGAGACGCGAAAGCGUGGGGAGCAAACAGG
RNAcentral lists this ribosomal RNA (253 nucleotides) under uncultured bacterium. RNAcentral's name for it is "partial 16S ribosomal RNA". It matches the Rfam family "Bacterial small subunit ribosomal RNA", at positions 524 to 776 of the family's 1533-position model. The record is from RNAcentral.